UCUCUGGUAGUAUAUCGGUUAGUACACGCGCCUGUCACAGCGUGGACAGGGAGAUAUUGUUUCGCGCGAAAGCUGGGUUCGACUCCCAGCCAGAGAG
Molecule: non-coding RNA, 97 nt
Organism: Armillaria fumosa
Lineage: Eukaryota; Fungi; Basidiomycota; Agaricomycetes; Agaricales; Physalacriaceae
Source: the annotation of a GenBank genome assembly